This 253-nucleotide ribosomal RNA is filed under the name uncultured bacterium. Its description in RNAcentral is "partial 16S ribosomal RNA". It matches the Rfam family "Bacterial small subunit ribosomal RNA", at positions 524 to 776 of the family's 1533-position model. The record is from RNAcentral.
GACGUAGGGCGCGAGCGUUGUCCGGAUUUAUUGGGCGUAAAGAGCUCGUAGGCGGCUUGUCGCGUCGACUGUGAAAUCCCGAGGCUCAACCUCGGGUCUGCAGUCGAUACGGGCAAACUAGAGUAUUGCAGGGGAGACUGGAAUUCCUGGUGUAGCGGUGAAAUGCGCAGAUAUCAGGAGGAACACCGGUGGCGAAGGCGGGUCUCUGGGCCGAUACUGACACUGAGGAGCGAAAGCGUGGGGAGCGAACAGG